Molecule: ribosomal RNA, 469 nt
Filed under: uncultured bacterium
Lineage: Bacteria
Description: partial 16S ribosomal RNA
Rfam family: Bacterial small subunit ribosomal RNA
Source: RNAcentral
GACGAACGCUGGCGGCGUGCUUAACACAUGCAAGUCGAACGGAAAGGCCCUGCUUUUGUGGGGUGCUCGAGUGGCGAACGGGUGAGUAACACGUGAGUAACCUGCCCUUGACUUUGGGAUAACUUCAGGAAACUGGGGCUAAUACCGGAUAGGAGCUCCUGCUGCAUGGUGGGGGUUGGAAAGUUUCGGCGGUUGGGGAUGGACUCGCGGCUUAUCAGCUUGUUGGUGGGGUAGUGGCUUACCAAGGCUUUGACGGGUAGCCGGCCUGAGAGGGUGACCGGCCACAUUGGGACUGAGAUACGGCCCAGACUCCUACGGGAGGCAGCAGUGGGGAAUAUUGCACAAUGGGCGGAAGCCUGAUGCAGCAACGCCGCGUGCGGGAGGACGGCCUUCGGGUUGUAAACCGCUUUCAGCAGGGACGAAGCUUUUUGUGACGGUACCUGCAGAAGAAGCACCGGCUAACUACGUG